This 252-nucleotide non-coding RNA is filed under the name Climacostomum virens. The record is from RNAcentral. Lineage: Eukaryota; Ciliophora; Heterotrichea; Heterotrichida; Climacostomidae.
ACAGAUAGUGUCACAGAAAACCAGGUAGCCCCUCACGACGUGUCGCGAAGGGUCAUAGUGAAAAUGUGAGGUAAGAGCUCACAUUCCGCAGCGGUAACGGUGCGGAAGGAUAAACCUCGAAUGUUGUAAGGCCAUGUAUACUUUAAUUUUGUGGCUGCUCGCCGCAAUAACGCAAGUUAUAUUAAAGAGGGUAGGCUGCAUAGAUAAAUGAUGAAAGUUCUGCUUGCAGAAAUACAGAACCCGGCUUAUAGA